CGCGACAAGCAGGUGCUGCUGCCGAUCGUCGCUGGCACAGAGCCGAUUGAGGCGUCCAUCCCCAUCGACUUCCUCCGCCGCGCCGGCGCCGAUGUCACCGUCGCUUCCGCAGGCGACGCCCUUCUCGUCGAAAUCAUGUACGGCGUCAAAAUAAUGGCCGACGAGCUCCUGGCUGACUGCGCCGCCGCUUCCUACGACCUCAUCGUCCUCCCCGGUGGCGUUCCUGGCGCUGCAAAUCUUGGUGCUUGUGCGACGUUGGAGGGCAUGGUGAGGAAGCACGUGGAGAAGGGAGGACUCUACGCCGCCAUAUGCGCUGCACCGCCGCUGGCGUUGGCGUCCUGGUGUCUACUCGACGGACACAAGGCUACGGGUCAUCCAUGGUUCGUGGAGAAGUUCCCUCCCGAGGUGACCGCCGUGGACGCGAACGUGGUGGUGGACGGCAAUGCCGUGACGGGCACUGGGCCGGCAACGUCGAUGGAGUUUGUGCUGGCCUUGGUGGAGCAGCUCUAUGGGAAGGAGAAGGUCGAGCAGAUCGCUAAACCAAUGCUAGUGAGAUACGAAGGUGGCUACAGCAUGAACGAACUCAACUCGGUCCAGUGGCAUUGCAGCGGCACACCCAAGGUUCUUCUUCCACUAGGCAACGGCAUUGAGGAGAUGGAGGCGAUAAUAAUCGUCGACGCGCUGCGCAGAGCCAACGCGGACGUCGUCGUCGCGUCCGCCGAGGACGGUGUCGUGGUCACCGCGCGACACGGGACGAGGAUCGUGGCCGACGUGAUGCUGGACGAGGCCGCCGAUCGUGCGCCCUUCGAUCUGAUCAUCGUGCCGGGCGGCAUGCCGGGCGCGAAGACGCUGGGCGGCUGUGAGCAGCUCGUCGCUCUGCUGAAGAAGCAGGCGGAAGCGAACAGGCCGUACGGCGCGAUCGGCGCCGCCACCGCCCACGUGCUCGAGCCCCAUGGCCUGCUCAAGGGCAAGAAGGCGACGACGUGCGCAUCCAUGGCCGGGCUGCUCGCGGACGACAGCGAGUGCGAGAACAGGGUGGUGGUUGACGGGAACGUGAUCACGAGCAGGAGCCCCGGCACCGCCAUGGAGUACGCGGUGGCCGUCGUCGAGGAGGCGCGGCGACUGGCGGAAGGCCUGCUCUUCUUGGGCUGA
This 1152-nucleotide ribosomal RNA is filed under the name Triticum aestivum (bread wheat). Its description in RNAcentral is "partial small subunit ribosomal RNA". The record is from RNAcentral. Lineage: Eukaryota; Viridiplantae; Streptophyta; Magnoliopsida; Poales; Poaceae.